GGAGUUAGCCGGUGCUUCUUCUGUGAGUGAUGUCCUUCCUGCCGGCUAUUAACCCGCAGGCCUUCUUCCUCACUGAAAGUGCUUUACAACCCGAAGGCCUUCUUCACACACGCGGCAUGGCUGGAUCAGGGUUGCCCCCAUUGUCCAAUAUUCCCCACUGCUGCCUCCCGUAGGAGUCUGGGCCGUGUCUCAGUCCCAGUGUGGCUGAUCAUCCUCUCAGACCAGCUACGGAUCGUCGCCUUGGUGAGCCGUUACCUCACCAACCAGCUAAUCCGACAUAGGCUCAUCCGAUAGCGCGAGGCCCGAAGGUCCCCCGNUUUCCCCCGUAGGGCGUAUGCGGUAUUAGCCUGGGUUUCCCCCAGGUUAUCCCCCACUACCCGGGCAGAUUCCUAUGCAUUACUCACCCGUCCGCCGCUCGCCACCAGGGAGCAAGCUCCCCGUGCUGCCGCUCGACUUGCAUGUGUAGCUGCCGCCAGCGUCAUCUGAGCCAGAAGUACGAACCUACGACGUACGAGACGGGCGGUCGGUCGACGGACGGCG
This 540-nucleotide ribosomal RNA is filed under the name uncultured bacterium. RNAcentral's name for it is "partial 16S ribosomal RNA". The record is from RNAcentral.